UACGGAGGAUGCGAGCGUUAUCCGGAUUUAUUGGGUUUAAAGGGUGCGUAGGCGGAAUAUCAAGUCAGCGGUAAAAAUUCGGGGCUCAACCCCGUCGUGCCGUUGAAACUGAUGUUCUUGAGUGGGCGAGGAGUAUGCGGAAUGCGUGGUGUAGGGGUGAAAUGCAUAGAUAUCACGCAGAACUCCGAUUGCGAAGGCAGCAUACCGGCGCCCAACUGACGCUGAAGCACGAAAGCGUGGGUAUCGAACAGG
RNAcentral lists this ribosomal RNA (252 nucleotides) under uncultured bacterium. Its description in RNAcentral is "partial 16S ribosomal RNA". It matches the Rfam family "Bacterial small subunit ribosomal RNA", at positions 524 to 776 of the family's 1533-position model. The record is from RNAcentral.